GACGAACGCUGGCGGCGUGCUUAACACAUGCAAGUCGAACGGAAAGGCCCUGCUUUUGUGGGGUGCUCGAGUGGCGAACGGGUGAGUAACACGUGAGUAACCUGCCCUUGACUUUGGGAUAACUUCAGGAAACUGGGGCUAAUACCGGAUAGGAGCUCCUGCUGCAUGGUGGGGGUUGGAAAGUUUCGGCGGUUGGGGAUGGACUCGCGGCUUAUCAGCUUGUUGGUGGGGUAGUGGCUUACCAAGGCUUUGACGGGUAGCCGGCCUGAGAGGGUGACCGGCCACAUUGGGACUGAGAUACGGCCCAGACUCCUACGGGAGGCAGCAGUGGGGAAUAUUGCACAACGGGCGGAAGCCUGAUGCAGCAACGCCGCGUGCGGGAUGACGGCCUUCGGGUUGUAAACCGCUUUCGCCUGUGACGAAGCGUGAGUGACGGUAAUGGGUAAAGAAGCACCAGCUAACUACGUG
RNAcentral lists this ribosomal RNA (468 nucleotides) under uncultured bacterium. Its description in RNAcentral is "partial 16S ribosomal RNA". It matches the Rfam family "Bacterial small subunit ribosomal RNA", at positions 28 to 507 of the family's 1533-position model. The record is from RNAcentral.